This 74-nucleotide transfer RNA is filed under the name Pseudomonadota bacterium. Its description in RNAcentral is "Proteobacteria bacterium (gut metagenome) tRNA-Arg". It matches the Rfam family "tRNA". Rfam says of the family: Transfer RNA (tRNA) molecules are approximately 80 nucleotides in length. Lineage: Bacteria; Pseudomonadati; Pseudomonadota. The record is from RNAcentral.
GCGCUCAUAGCUCAGCUGGAUAGAGCAACGGCCUUCUAAGCCGUGGGUCGCAGGUUCGAAUCCUGCUGAGCGUA